This 369-nucleotide ribosomal RNA is filed under the name uncultured organism. RNAcentral describes it as "bacterial SSU rRNA". It matches the Rfam family "Bacterial small subunit ribosomal RNA", at positions 526 to 896 of the family's 1533-position model. The record is from RNAcentral.
CGUAGGGUGCGAGCGUUAAUCGGAAUUACUGGGCGUAAAGCGUGCGCAGGCGGUUUUGUAAGACAGAUGUGAAAUCCCCGGGCUCAACCUGGGACCUGCAUUUGUGACUGCAAGGCUAGAGUACGGUAGAGGGGGAUGGAAUUCCGCGUGUAGCAGUGAAAUGCGUAGAUAUGCGGAGGAACACCGAUGGCGAAGGCAAUCCCCUGGACCUGUACUGACGCUCAUGCACGAAAGCGUGGGGAGCAAACAGGAUUAGAUACCCUGGUAGUCCACGCCCUAAACGAUGUCAACUGGUUGUUGGGUCUUUACCGACUCAGUAACGAAGCUAACGCGUGAAGUUGACCGCCUGGGAGUACGGCCGCAAGGUUG